This is a long non-coding RNA of Cyprinus carpio (common carp), 1388 nucleotides long. RefSeq lists it as uncharacterized. The transcript has 4 exons. The record is from RefSeq and is a predicted model, not a curated record. Lineage: Eukaryota; Metazoa; Chordata; Actinopteri; Cypriniformes; Cyprinidae.
CAAAGUAUGUUGAGAAAACAGAGUCAUUUUCAGUCUUCCAUCUAGGACGAUGGUUCUCAACCUUUUUACUCAAAGGGUGUCCAUAUAAGAUAUGCAACUCCAGCUCUGUGGUCAGUGCUUGUCGGUCUCCCUUUCACAUUCUUGGCUGGCUAAAGGGCAGAAUCUGACAGAAAGAGUAAUGAUGCAGCCUAGUGUUAAUUAGGACCUUUCCUGCUGUCGCUCCCCAGAAGCGCUUCUCUCUGCUGGGCUACGGUGGUGUUUCUUCAGCCUAUUAAAGCUCCAGACGCUGGGCGUGAAGUUCAGCUCUGUGGCUUUCUUCUUUGAAUCCGCACAAUAGGGGAAUGGUUUGAUGAGUCUUUCAAUAUUAAGAAAUAAGGCCUCUGAAUCCUAUAAAAGAAUCUUCUGGAAAUUUAAGUCAAAAUUUGACACUAAUACUGCCGUGGUUUGUAAUUACAUGGUCUGUUUGUGUCAUAGUGCAUUUGAUUUGUAGUCCUCUGAAGGUAUUAAUAUUACAAAUACUUUUGUGAAUCUGAAGCAACAGUUGUCAGGUAAUUUUCCACACAUGUUAAAUGCAUGAGCACACACACACACAUGUACAACACAUAAACACUAUUUCCUUAUACACUGAAAAGUGAUUAUAAAGUGAUUUUCUCACUCCCACACAGACACUGUGGCCCCACCACAGUGUGUAAAGCAGAGGUCAUGAUGGCGUCACUGUGGGAUCAGACUCAACGGGAGAGGAUGAUACCCUCAAUAAACCCGUCCAGCUGAAAGCUGUAAAAGUCCCAGGAAUGCUACAGCAGCGUGGUGCGAGAACCAUCAGAGACGGAGAAAACCCUUUACGGGAGAAGCGCGACUCCAGAGCAGGAGCUCCGGGAGAUCCGGGAACGUGCUAUCCACAGAGCCCGGCAGCGGAUACAGGCCCUGGGCUGUGAAACCCAAUCAGGCCAUCCUGGACACAUGUGAUGGGUUGAAGUAGACAGGGUCACUGUUCCAUUACAAAAUAUGCACAUCUGUGAGAGUCGUCCAGUGAUGCAUCUAUUUGAUCAUCUGAAAUCGUUUGACAUAAAAGACACAACCUCAUAAUCUUGGGAGUUUAUUGUUUGAUUAGCAUAGCAUGUGGUGUAAAAGCAGCGUAGCAUGUAGUCUCAUUGUUUAAUCUCUAAUGACACACACCUGAGGCACGAGCAGGAUAAAUUUAUGGAAUUUCUUUCUGUUUGAUGUCUUCAUCCAGUAACUUUUACAAUAACUUACCUACAAUCCAACUGACCCUUCACUGGGAGUUUGAUUGAUGGGGGAUCUGACCAAUCAUUAUGCCUAAUCUGCCAUAUCUGUCCAACAAACAAACCAGACAGGAGGUCAGAUUAACGACAGUGGAUUUAAACCUG